Paramuricea clavata is the source of this 1239-nucleotide non-coding RNA. The record is from the annotation of a GenBank genome assembly. NCBI's taxonomy places the organism in Eukaryota, Metazoa, Cnidaria, Anthozoa, Malacalcyonacea, Plexauridae.
GGAAUUUAAAGCCAUUUACGGAUGUAUUGGUUGACUACGGGAUCAAUAUUUUCAAUAACCCAUGUUUUAGAAAGUGUUGCGAUGGUGAAAUGCCAGGAUAAUUUGGAUAAGACAUAACGACUGUACACGAGAAGCUUAUUUCUUGGGUGGAGUGGCUUCGAGUCAAUAUCAGUCAUUAGUUCAUUAACGAGGGUGGUUAGUUCAGUCUUAUGGUUAUUAUUCGACAUGUUAAAAUCAAAGUAACCUUCCUAAAUAUUGAAAUGCUUCUCCAAUCUUUGUUGUUGGUAUCAGAUUAUUGUUGAUGAGGAGUUUCGGCAAAUAUUGGACUGAUUUUGUGAUGGCUUUCUUGAUGCCAAAGGUACUACAUUUAUCGACUCUGAUAAUCAUAUUGGACCAUUGGCACUAGGUGGAAAAACGAUUUAAGAGAUGCUGGUUUUCAGAUUCUUGCCAGUGAUUACGGCUGCGUCAUCAGCGAACUGGAACCAGUGGAUAGGAUUUAAUAGCUUGAAGGAGAAGCCAAACUGACGGUACUUUUCAGCUUUUAUAUGUUGGAUUAAAGUAUUAAAACACAUAUUGAAAAGAAGAGGACUGAGGCAAUCUCCUUGCAAUACGCCAAGGCCAACAGAUUUAAAAGGGGUGCGGAAUUCGGAGGUAAUUAUUGAGGUUUGGAAAUCAGUGUAUAAACUUUUUAUAACGAAUUUUAUGUGUUCUGGGAUGUGGUGGUAGUCGAGUACUGAUUGGAUGAGAUUGUGGUGGACAUCGCCGAACGCAUUCUUCAGAUCAAGUAGGGUGAUGCGGGCUUUGUUAAUGAUGUCAGCCAUUUGCGCAGUGUGUUCUAGAGUGCCAGAUAGGUUAGGGGUGAAGUCCUUUUGUAUGCCGUGUUCGAUAAAGUUAUUGGAUGCGAGGAAGGAAUAUAUUGCGUUUCGAAGACAAGAUGUAAAACUUUUAAUGGUAUGGACUCAGGUGUUAUGGGACGGAAAUUUGACGGAUCAUCAGUGUUGCCUUUCUGAUGUAUUAAUAUAGUACAUGCUUUUUUCCAUUCAUUCGGGACAGUUCCAGAUAGCCAAAUUUCUUGAAUUAGUUCACUGAGGUAAGUUCUCAGAUAAGGACAUCGCUUCAAACAAAUUAUCAAAAGCUGAUCAAGGGGGCAAGGGGAGCCAGACGAUUUCAUUUUACGUAUCUCAUUAGUAAUUUGUUGGUAAGUCGGGGGGUCAAGGUUGAAUUGAAUUUCGGGAUCGG